CCCUGAGUAGCGGCGAGCGAAACGGGAAGAGCCCAAACCAACGAGCUUGCUUGUUGGGGUUGUAGGACACUCUAUACGGAGUUACAAAAGAACAGACUAGACGAAUCAUCUGGAAAGAUGAAUCAAAGAAGGU
RNAcentral lists this ribosomal RNA (133 nucleotides) under Staphylococcus saprophyticus. RNAcentral's name for it is "partial 23S ribosomal RNA". It matches the Rfam family "Bacterial large subunit ribosomal RNA", at positions 237 to 365 of the family's 2925-position model. The record is from RNAcentral. Lineage: Bacteria; Bacillati; Bacillota; Bacilli; Caryophanales; Staphylococcaceae.